RNAcentral lists this long non-coding RNA (2038 nucleotides) under Helianthus annuus (common sunflower). Its description in RNAcentral is "hypothetical non coding rna". Lineage: Eukaryota; Viridiplantae; Streptophyta; Magnoliopsida; Asterales; Asteraceae. The record is from RNAcentral.
AUAUGCAAAAAAGGGAAGAGAUUUAUACGAGGUUUGACAAAGUCAUCCGACAAAACGACCACCAAACCUCCGUUCUCACCGUCUUCAAUUCCCGCAACCACCGUAUGAGUAAACCCUAAUCCUAACUAAACCCCAACUUUAAAGCCUGAAAAUCACUGUAAUUUGUCAGUAAUUGACAUCCAAUGAAGAAGGGGCCAUGCAAAGAAGGGGAUGUUAACUGCGUUGAAGUAUCGGUUCUCCAUCCAGAUCUUCCGAUCACAACUACGAUUUUCCGUUGUUUAGAGCUAUGGUACUCUUCGAUUGAUUACCUGUUCCGAAAGAUAAAGAGGUUUUAAUUUGUUACAGUUGAAGUUUGAUGUUGUUCAGGUUCGCAUAGAAACGAAUCCAGCUGCUAGAACCUGAUCACGCAUGAUAGUGGCAUGAGAGAACCCCAAACUAACAUUUGAGUAUGCAUUCGGUUUUGAUAUUAUCUGGUUGAAUGUCAACAAAGGCCGAAUCUUUGUGAUCACUAUCUUUUAUUCGGUUUCGCAAAACAAUAACUCAACAGACUUGGUGAAAUAUUGAAUUGCCACAAUCUUUUUCCAUUUAAUCAAAAUUAGAGGUGUAUGUAUGGGAAUAUAGUUUGGUGAUCGAGUUAGGAAUGAACUCGGUAAUGAGUCAAAUCAAAGUUUUCGUGUUUUUUAUGUGCGGGUUAAGUUGGUCUACGUUUUAACGUAAAUUUUGUUUGGAAAUGAGUCAACCAAAUAUUGGAUGGUAUAAACUGAGUUACUUUAAGUUUGAGGCCGCCGCAACGCGCGGCGAGUCAAAAACCUAGUUGGAUCAAAAUGGCAAUUGAAAACAUUUAAAAUAAAAAUCCCCAAAAUACCCCUGGUUAAAGAUGGAGUUUUUGGAUGGAGUUAGUGUAUGUGAAGGGAAAAGUCAAGGACCCAGAGGCAAAAAAAAAACUAUUUGGACUAAAGUAGCAAAUUUGGACAAAACUCAGGGACUAAAAUGGCAAUUUACUCUUUUUUAUGGUUUAGAAGUUAGCCAAUUGACAUUAGGUUUAGUGAGCCCAAUGUCUAUUUGAUUUAAAUAAUAAUAAUAAGAGUAAAUUACAAGUUUUGUCCUUUAUGUUUACAUCAAAUUACAGGCGCUGUCCUUUUGGCCAAAAGUUUACAGGGGUGUCCUUAACCUUUCAAAAUCUUGCAUGUAUUGUCCUUUAGGCCAAACCUAAUUAGAAAUCUCAGUUAAAAACUGUCAUGUGCAAUGAGGGUAAAAUGGUAAUUUCCCUCUCAACCCAUACACUUUCCCUUCCUUCUUGUCUCCAACACUAUCCCUCAAACCUAACUCAAAUGUUUCCGAGCAAUCAUCAAUCAACGAACUCGCAAUCGAAUCUCUUGCUAACUCCCUCUCACCCCCAAUGCUCGGAAACCUCAUCCCUAAAUUACCAUAGCUGUAAGCAAUAGUCGUCGGGGAUACUUUCGCAUUCGAAACCGGAGUAGCCGCCAUCGUCUUUGUUUCAUCCAUCUCCGCCACCACCGCAGCCGCCAUUUUCCUAAUCGAGCUCGAUCUAUCGAGGCUUUUUCGUCUUUUGGAUGAAGAAUCGGUGUAAUACUCUCGGGUCUGGAUCGAACCACCGGGGAUUACUUCAUACGAGAUCCGACUGGCAUCUAGUGAAAACUUCGGGUCAAUAUCACAGGAUCUUCUACCGAACCCGUAAUCGGCAAUCUCAGACUUUGUUUCACGAUACUGACGAGAAAUUCGAUGUGAAAUCUGGUUUUUUUGAGUGAGAAUCGAGAUCUAUGGGAUCUUGCAUGGUUUUCAAUUCUUCUUCUUAUUCAUUUGUUUCUUCUAAUUCUUCAAUUUCCAAAAAAAGAAUUUAGAUUGUGAUAUAAAAAAAUAAUUGCAGGUUUUUCGAAGAAGAGUAGUUGUUAAGUGAAGGGUUAAGAGUUCGUAUAGAUUGGAGAAGAAAGAUAUUAGAUUGUGAUAUGAUAAUCGAAGUUUAGAUCAUAGUCUACAGGUUACUAGUUGCUGAGUUGAAUUGUUAUUUGAAUUUAAU